Molecule: ribosomal RNA, 253 nt
Filed under: uncultured bacterium
Lineage: Bacteria
Description: partial 16S ribosomal RNA
Rfam family: Bacterial small subunit ribosomal RNA
Source: RNAcentral
UACGGAGGGGGCUAGCGUUGUUCGGAAUUACUGGGCGUAAAGCGCGCGUAGGCGGCUUUGUAAGUUAGAGGUGAAAGCCCGGAGCUCAACUCCGGAACUGCCUUUAAGACUGCAUCGCUAGAAUCAUGGAGAGGUGAGUGGAAUUCCGAGUGUAGAGGUGAAAUUCGUAGAUAUUCGGAAGAACACCAGUGGCGAAGGCGGUUGCCUGGAGCUUUGCUGACGCUGAUGCGCGAAAGCGUGGGGAGCGAUCCGG